AUAACCUAUACAAAGCAUGGACAGGUUUUGCUGGGCUUAUCUCCAAAAAUGUUUAAUUGGUAUCUUUCUUUUUACUUUUCCUCCAGCUUUAGUUUUUUUUUUUUUUAAACUUUCUUUUUGCCUCAUCGUUAUGAACUCCCCAUCUCACUCAAAGGAGCUUUGCUUAGAAAAUGACCAAGAGCAUCCAUCUAUCAACAGAACUAAAGAGACCUCCUGGACAAUCAGUUCAUCGUUCAUUCAAUGUUUAUUACAAAACACCCUACUUAAUGUUGUUCUUAAAAAUCUGCUGGCUUAAGUGGCAUUUCAGUUACAGAAUGUCUGAUUAUUAGAGUGGUAUUCAUUGAGAAAGGCCCAGCCAUUCCUUGAUAUCUCUUCAUAAUUAUGCUCUUCAACAUCUUUCACUACAGGUUUUUUGGGAAAUGGUGAAUUCAGCACCACAAAUCAGAUGGGGAGGGAGUAAUAAUGACUUGAGUGUCCCAAAAGACAGCCUGACUCCCUCUGCAUGGUUCACCACUGGCCAGCUGGGAAUACUCUGACCAUUAUUACAGGUCAUACUUGUAGUCCUGGCGUCUUACUUAGACUGUGAAGGCUGAACUUUAGUCCUGUCCGUUGGGCAGUGGGGCAGGGGCAGGCAGAAUGAACUGCAUAGCCCCCCAGCCCUUAGUGAGCUUCUGAACCAGAAGCUGCUUAUCAGAUUUUGCAUCAAUACCUGGAUUGCACUUGUCGGUUAGGGUUACUACAGUUUAGAAUCAAUAAAUCAAAAUUUCCAGAAAAAUUCUGAAGAUUACAGAAGGAUUUGUUGAGAACAGUUGAAAGCACUCUGUUGAGUAAGAGGGAUGGAGAUUUUAGAAAGCAUGAAUUUUUACUAUAACACACGAAAUAACUACAAAAUAUAUUUAGCAGGAAGCUAAUAAUUCCAGUUCUGCCUCCUGGAGGAACUGAUCGGAUGCCAGCCUACAUAGCCUUCAAAAUGCUAAUCUAGUUUCUUCUGUUCCAUCUUGCUUUCUGUUAACCCUCUUGCUUCCUUGUGACCCAGUAUAUGAAGAGAAACUGUGUGGCAUCAGUAAAGCAAGCUGUUACAGAAGCUGAGCUGUCAAUUUAGCAUUUGGCAGGAGAAUAGAAGACUGUUCAGUGAAAGCCUUGAUUUUAUUUUUGUUAGGCCAGCAAACAAUAGCAGCAUGCUGGCUUUGAGGCUAAAAAGAACAAAACAAACGAAUACCUCUUGCUGCCAUUUCUAUUUCUAAUCCAAAAAGGGAGGUGUCUCCUCCUUUCCCCCCUCUUCUCUGGCAUCAAGGAGUCUUAAGUAGCCACACUGAAAACUGGUCUAUAUUUCUGAUAAUGAAAGCCUAAAACCAAUAUCCAAACAGACAGAUGGAUGGGUAAGUAAGUAGGUUAGUAGGUGGGUGUAUGGAUGAAUGGAUGACUGAUACUUGUCAUUCUCCCAGACGUUGAUUCCCAUUUUUUUUCCUGCUCUGACCCUCUUAUCUUCCUGUUCUCCUCCACAUUGCUAUCUGCUCAAUACAGUUAUUCUCUUUAUAAAUCAGCCUAUUUAGAGAGGACAAAGACUUACUAAUCUAAAACCUUCAUGCUGCCAUCAGCAGUUUCCUGGUUCAUAGCAGUUUCCUAUCAUGGAGAUGACAAUGCUGAGAAAAAAAAACCUUCCAGAAGCAUCUCAUUGCUCUUUCACAGUAUAGUCUACCAUUUUCUUGCUGGGCUAAAGUAUCAGUGCUAUGUUUUUCAUAAGCCCCCUUUUCUUUUAGAGAAUUGGACAAAAAUCAAAGGACAAAAGUCUUUCUGUGCUUGUGUACCAUUUAUGGGGAAGCCUCUAAUGCCCUAGCAGGAGGAUUGUUCUAGAGGUUAAGGGGUUGUCAAUUUGAUUUCUUGGGGUGAAAUUUUCAGAACUAUGCCUGUUCUGAGACAAUUCCAAUGUUAAAGAAAAUGCUUGUUUGGGAUAGAUUUUUCUCUGUAACUUGUCAGUGAGAGUUCUUAUUGUUUGUUUCUUUUGACAUCUUUUUCUGUUUCUUCAAUUACUCCUUAUCUUCUCUGAUGUCUUCAUGUCCUCUAUUAGUAUCUCUGCUACAAUUUUCCUUUGGAAAUAUCUUUAGACAUCUUUGAAAUGGGAAAUGGCUUUUCUAAAUUUCACAAGAUCCAAAGGGACUUGUCUUGUACAAAAUUAUCAGUCAGUUAAAUAGUAAUAUCAGGAUUUUAAAGACCCUGUCUACCUUCCUAUUAGAACCACUGAAUGUUGUGAUUUUUUCUUAUUAGAUGUUAACACGUUUCACAUGUAUUCACAUCUCAUUACUCAUUAAUACUGUCUGAAGUAGGAUAAAGCAGGUAUUUUAAGUUCUACAUUUAGUCUGAGUGACCAAAGAAUUUAUCUUGUCAAGGUUCAGCCCUCAAUCAGAACAGAACUUUGAUGACAAAAAUGGUACUGGCUGUCAUGCUCCUUUGAAGAGCGAAGAACUCAGUUACGGUCCACACUUCACUUAAGAGAGAGAGCUAGGCAAGUUAUCCUAUUUCUUUGUGUUUCAAUUUCCUCAUUUUAAAAUGAAUAAAAAGUAUUGCAUAUUUCAUAGGGUUAUGAUGUAGAUUUUUAUGCAUAUCUGAAGUGUACAAAAAAGCACCCAAACAUAGUAAGAACUUAGUAAAUGCUGAUAAUAUUUCUAGAACUACUAUUCUAAUUGUUUGAGGUACCAAUGAGAUUAAACUUGGUUCCCUAAAAAAAGAUGUGACAUUGAAAGAUAUGAUAUUGCUUAACAUUUUCUUUGUUUUUUUAAAAAUCCCAGCUAUUCUUGAAUGCUGCAAGAAUUAGAACUAGAAAGCAUCAACUAUUUUAUGUGUCCAUGUAUCUUAUAUGCAUUUAUAAAUAUGUAUGCAUGCAUAAUGGAAAUUUGUGUGUUUACACAUAGGUGAACGUAAUACAGAAUUGAUGUUUUACACAAAUGAUAACAAACUACAUUCACGCAUCAUUAUUUUCUAUUUUCCAUGAACAUAUUUUCAAAAUUGGUGUAUAUAAUUUGUUUCAUUAUUUGUGAAGGCUGAAAAUUAUUCCAUUGUACAUAUGAACCAUAAUGUAACUUCUUUUCUACUGAUGGGUAUGUAGGCUGCCUCCAAUUUCUGCUUUUACAAAUAAGGCUCUUGAAAUGAACAUCUUUAGAGACAGGUUGUUUUAAAUACUGUGGAAGAAUGUCUUGAUUUUUUUUUAUUAUUCAACUUGAAAGAGUAUCCCUAUAUUUAUUUUAAUUUUGUGAUAUGUGUAUACAAUAUAUUUAAUAAAUGUAACAUGUCAUAUAUCACAUAUAUCAAGCAUACAGCAGAAAUAAACAUUGUUAAUGUAUGUAAAAAUUUCCUGUAAGCAAUUAACCUCAAUUUUGGUAUUCUUUUAAGUUUUAAUCCUGUGAUGUAAGGGUCUUAUCCUAGAUUUUCAGGUUAUCUUGGAGGUUAGACUUAUGGGCUAUAUUCCUUGAUCAUCUCUCAUAUUUUAUUAUUUGUAUCUACAGAAAUGAAGAUUUAUUUUUCUUAUUAGCUCUCUUUAAAUACAAGGAAGUUAUUCUAAACAUUUGGAAGACCAAGGAAUUUCUCACAGCAGUAAAGCAGUACUGAAGGGUUCAGUAUAAAUAUCCACUGUUGAAAAAUACAAAUUUAAACUCAUAGGAAAAAAGAUUACAUUGAAUUUCAUUGGAAAAAAAAAAAAGCAUGGGCUGAGAAACACCGUUCAUUUGUUCAUGAUUGUGGUAGUCAGCUUUCCAUCCUUGUGACAAAUACCCAAGAUAAAAUAAACUUAUAAGGAGGACGGAUUUAUUUUCUCAUGGUUUCAGAGGUGUCACUCCAUGCAUGGUCAGUUAGCUUUGGGUCUGGGGUGAGGCAGAAUGUCACAGUGAAGAACAUGUGGUAGACCAAAUCCGCUCAUUUCAAGGUGGCAAGGAGGGAGGGGGAGUCCUAACGUCCCCAUAAAAGGCAUGCCCCCACCAAAACCUCACCUUCUGCCUCUGGGCCCCACCUCCUAAAAGUUGUACCACCUCUCAACAGCACCACAGACUGGUGACUUUUGAGGGACAUUUAAGAUCCAAACCAUAACAGUGGGCAUUGAG
RNAcentral lists this long non-coding RNA (4091 nucleotides) under Marmota monax (woodchuck). Lineage: Eukaryota; Metazoa; Chordata; Mammalia; Rodentia; Sciuridae. The record is from RNAcentral.